UUAGGAAUAUUCGUCAAUGGGGGACACCCUGAACGAUCUAUGCCGCGUGAGUGAUGACAGCCCUUUGGGUUGUAAAACUCUGUUGUUUGGGAAUAACAGAGAGAAUAGGAAAUGAUUCUCUUUUGACGGUACCAUUCAAGAAAGCUCCGGCUAACUACGUGCCAGCAGCCGCGGUGGUACGUAGGGAGCGAGCGUUAUCCGGAUUUAUUGGGCGUAAAGCGUGCGCAGCUGGCUUAUUAAGUAUGAAAUUAAAGCCCGAAGCUUAACUUCGGUUCGUUUCAUAAACUGGUAGGCUUGAGUGUGGUAGAGGUAAGUGGAUUUUCUAGUGUAGCGGUAAAAUGCGUAGAUAUUAGAAGGAACAUCAGUGGCGAAGGCGACUUACUGGGCCAUUACUGACAGUCAUGCACGAAAGCGUGGGGAGCAAAUA
RNAcentral lists this ribosomal RNA (427 nucleotides) under uncultured prokaryote. RNAcentral describes it as "bacterial SSU rRNA". It matches the Rfam family "Bacterial small subunit ribosomal RNA", at positions 355 to 774 of the family's 1533-position model. The record is from RNAcentral.